CCUACGGGAGGCAGCAGUGGGGGAUAUUGCACAAUGGGGGAAACCCUGAUGCAGCGACGCCGCGUGGGUGAAGAAGCGCCUCGGCGCGUAAAGCCCUGUCAGCAGGGAAGAAAAUGACGGUACCUGAAGAAGAAGCCCCGGCUAACUACGUGCCAGCAGCCGCGGUAAUACGUAGGGGGCAAGCGUUAGCCGGAUUUACUGGGUGUAAAGGGGGCGCAGACGGCGAUGCAAGCCAGGAGUGAAAGCCCGGGGCCCAACCCCGGGACUGCUCUUGGAACUGCGUGGCUAGAGUGCAGGAGGGGCAGGCGGAAUUCCUGGUGUAGCGGUGAAAUGCGUAGAUAGCAGGAGGAACACCGGUGGCGAAGGCGGCCUGCUGGACUGCAACUGACGUUGAGGCCCGAAAGCGUGGGGAGCAAACAGGAUUAGAUACCCCAGUAGUC
RNAcentral lists this ribosomal RNA (440 nucleotides) under uncultured bacterium. RNAcentral describes it as "partial 16S ribosomal RNA". It matches the Rfam family "Bacterial small subunit ribosomal RNA", at positions 338 to 795 of the family's 1533-position model. The record is from RNAcentral.